This 253-nucleotide ribosomal RNA is filed under the name uncultured bacterium. RNAcentral's name for it is "partial 16S ribosomal RNA". It matches the Rfam family "Bacterial small subunit ribosomal RNA", at positions 524 to 776 of the family's 1533-position model. The record is from RNAcentral.
UACGGGGGGGGCAAGCGUUGUUCGGAAUUACUGGGCGUAAAGGGCUCGUAGGUGGCCAACUAAGUCAGCCGUGAAAUCCCUCGGCUUAACCGGGGAACUGCGUCUGAUACUGGAUGGCUUGAGUUCGGGAGAGGGAUGCGGAAUUCCAGGUGUAGCGGUGAAAUGCGUAGAUAUCUGGAGGAACACCGGUGGCGAAGGCGGCAUCCUGGACCGACACUGACGCUGAGGAGCGAAAGCCAGGGGAGCAAACGGG